UCUGAAGGGCUCUUCAUUUCUCUUGCUCCUCAGAGGAAGAGUCUACUUUUCCAGUCUCUUCUUUUUGAGAACUCCCCACCUUUCCCCACAAGGCUUCUCCUUGUCCCAGGAUCCCUUUCUGAACACAGUUUGUGGAAUGCAAUCACCCAUAAUAACAGGUCUCAGAGCCUGAAUUUUCAAUCAAGGGUGACCCUGCUGAGAGCUCCAGUUGCAGAUCCACUGUGGGCUUUUGCACCAAAACUCCAAUCCUCUUGCUACGCGAGCGAAGGAUGAAGAUUUGUUCUCUUUUUAUCCGUCCACUUGUAUCUGUCUCCUGGGCUGCUGGGGGAAUUCUUGGACGGAUAUACACAUGUGUGUACUUGUGCACACAUAUGCAUACAUCUUAUAAACAUACACAACAAUUCUAAAACAAUAGUAAGACAGGGAACAAUUUUCCUAAAGAUGCCAUCAUUCUCAAGGCUCCACCCAACCUAAAAUAAGACAACCCUUUAUGUUAUGAUGUAGAGAAUUUUCUUUCUUUUUUCUCUUCUUUUUAGGGCUCCGGGGCACCUCCAUAUACCGUGGAUGCAGCCCUAAAAAGCCAAACAAACAAACAAACUGAAUUGUUAUAUACCUUGGGUUCCUUUUCUCCCUCUCAUUUCUUCAGGUCUCUGCAGCCUUCAGAGCAUGCUUUCACAACCCACAGGGCAGUGUAGCUUGUUGGGAGUGUGGUCUCUUGAGUCACUGUUAACCCACGUGUCCUGCUUCUUUCUCUCUAGCUAAAUGGGACUUAACAAGGGAUGAUUCUUAUGGAUUUUCAUUAAUUUCCUCACCCUUCUUCCCCUGAGACCCUACACCUGGCAGAAAUUUAUUUAUUCAUUUAUUCAACAAGUAUUUCUUGAGCAUUGUCAUGUGCCAAGUGCUGUGCCAGCCCUGGGGGGUACCACAGGGAGAGAGAAAGAGGAGAGAGAAAAAGAAAGGACAACAUCUUUACUCUCAAGGCGCUCACAAUCUGCUAGAAGACACAGAAAGGAAGCAAAACCCCCAAGGAAAACUAAAAUUAAAACCGAAAAGUACCGUGAAGAAAAAACUCAUGAUGCCGCGUGGGGAAAAUAAAGUCUUCACUGGGAGUUCCCUGGUGACUCAGCAGGUUAAAGAUCUGGCAUUGUCACUGCUCUGGCUCUGGUUACUGCCAUGGUGCAGGUCCGAUCCCCAGCCCAGGAACUUCCAAAUGCCCUGAGUGAAGCCAAAAAAAAAAAAAAAAGUCUUUGUCAGGAAGCUCAGGGCAGGGUGCUCCCAUCGUGGUUCAGCAAAAAGGAAUCUGACUAGUAUCCAUGAGGAUGCAGGUUUGACACCUGGCCUCACUCAGUGGGUUAAGACUGUGGUAUUACUGUGAGCUGUGGUGUAGGUUGCAGGCGUGGCUUGGAUCGGCCAGCAGCUGCAGAUCCGAUUGGACCCCCAGCCUGGGAACUUCCAAAAGACAAAAAAAGCUCAGGGACGGUCCCUGAACUGGAGAUGAAGGCCAGUAGGGGCCAACCAGGCAGAGAAGGGGGAAGAAAGGAGAAGAGAACCGUGUCUCGGUCAGAGGAAUAGCAUGUGCCAAAGUCCUGUGGCAGAAAGGAGAAAGGGGCCCUGGAGGGAAGCAAGGUGAAAACAGUGGAGACAGUCUUGUUAAAGAUGCAGGUCUUCAUCCUAAGGUAGUUUGCAUGAGGGUGGGGGUGGUGGAGAUGGAGAGAAGCAAACAGGUUUGCACAACGUUUCAGGAGUAACAUUACCGGAACGUGGGAGUGAAUUUGACCUGGAGAGAGAGCAUGUUGUCAACGAUGAGUCCUCCAUUCCUGGCCUCUGAGUUCAUGGAGAAAGGAACUUGGAUGGCAGCAUCACACUGCCCAGGCCCUUCCUAGCAGUCCCGCCCCAGCCUAUGCCCCCAUGAUGCUGAGUCCAUUUCAAGUCUCCUGGGCGUGUCGAGUUGGCUUGCUGCACUCUUUGCUAAACCCUCUCAGAGCGGGGGUGGUGGGGGGCGGAGAACAUCCUCUCAUUUUAAUCCAGCAACCCACCUCCAAAAACCUUCUCUCUGAAGGCUCAACUGAGCCACGUGCCUCUCAGUCAUUUCCAGGGAAGGGUGGGCCGGCUUCAUCAGCACUAAGUGAAAUCCUGUGUUCCUGCCAGAGGCUUUGAUAUAUGGGACGAUGCUGGCAAGAGCUGGGGCUGGGGCGGGGGGAGGAUCUUUUUUUAAUUUUUUUAAUCCACCUCCAUGGAAUCGCUUGAAUGGCAGUUGACAAUUAGCUGCUAAGUAAAAGGAGGCACUUAUUUUUAUUGCAGGGGGCCUUGACAGCUUUAUGUUCACUCUUUAAAAGCCCAGAGUCCUGUGUGUAAAGGUGAGCAGGGAGGAGAAGUAGUGUGGGAAGGAGGAAGGGAGGGCCAGGGGCAGGUGCCGACAGAUCCCAUGGUUUCUGUGCCGGAGUCUGAACCCGAGCAGUUAUUUACAAGGAUGUGCUGAUCUGGAAGCCAGAGAGGAUGGUUCCUCCAGCCUGGGGAGGACGGAAAGCCUGAGGCUGGCCCGGCAGAAACCACGAUUCCUCGGCCCCCGCCAUGCCUCAUAUUCCCAUGCCGCGGUGGGAAUGGGGCUGUGGCUUCCCUGCUCUGGCACUGCUCUUUUGCUGGAAUUUCAGGAAAAAAAACCCCAAACUCCAGAAGAAAGGUAUUUCUUUUCUCUUUGGGGAUUCAGUUCUUUCACUAAAAGACACUUGGCCCCGUUCCCCUUUCCUCUCCUGGCUGAGAUGGAGAUGCUCCGGGGACUGGCCAGUGGGGAUGACAGAGCCAGUGGGGAGGAGGGAAAAAGGGGCAGGGCAGCACUUGGUGACCUGGGCUGACUGAAGGUGGGUGGAAGGGGCUCUUGGGCUGAAUGCAGGAGUGUUUGAGCUCUGAUAAAAGAGGAUCUAAGGUAGAAAGGAAGGGGACAGCUCCUCCUUCUCCUGGUGCUUCCCGGGACCAACACAGUGUUCUGGGGUUUUCCAGCCAAUCUGGGGAGGGGGCUUGAGAAGUAGAGGAUGGAGGAUGGCUUGAGAGCAGAGGCUGGGCUUCACCCUAUAUCCCCUCCUCUCGAGACUGUUUUAUUCCACUGACUUUAAACAAGAAGGAUUAAAGCCCCGAUUUUAGAAUCACAGGGCAAAUGCAACCUUGGACAAACACCUAAGCCGAGCCUCAGUUUUCUCAUCUGUAAAAUGGAACAAUGUGUUCUACUUUGUGAAGUUCUUACGAGGGCUAAACAAGAACACACAUGAACGUUUUUUUAGGGUGGGUAGUUUGUCAGAAAAUUAGCUUAAUUAAAUGUGUGAAUUAUGAGAUCACAUAGUAGAAUUCAUUAAGAUUUGCACUGGUUUAGAUGGAAAUGCAUCUGGUAAUGGUGCCAGGGUCAGAGUGAUGGGCAGUGGUGAGUGGCCGAGUGGCCUGCUGAGGGUAGAAAGAACAGCAGGGUGCUAGUUCCUUGAAGGGCUGCGUGUGAGCUGGGAGGGGACAGCAUAGAAAGGGGCCUCUUGCUUUCCUUGGGGUGGAAAAUGGUCUUUGAGUAUCAUGCCCUGUCUGCGGUCUUCUGCCUUCACUGGUCACUUCCCUAGGAUUCCUGGGUCACUUAUUCCCUCAUUGCUAAGCCAUUUCAUGUCCACUUGGGAUCAAAGGGCAGCAAUCAGAACCAGAAGUCAGAGGUAGAUAGAACUCAGGAUUGGGUCUAUGGAGUUCUAGGGAUGUUUUGGCUUUUAUACUCCUUACCUGCGAUGGGAGAUGAAGCAUGGCAAAGCAUGGUGUAGACCAGCUGAAGAAUCGAGGAUGCCCUUCCUCUCGUGCCAGAAGGGACCUGCGGGCCUGAUGGCUCUAGAGCAGGCAGCUCUCAUUUCUUGUUGGUGGGAAUAGCUUGGGCUGAUUUCUAGGCUGCAGCUGGAAAGUUCAGAGUCUUCCUCAUAUGGGGAUAUUUAAAGCUGUGCGAUUAUGAAGGACUUGCACCCGAGGAAGGGAAGUGCUGGGACCCUUCGGCCUUUAGAGGACAGGGAGAAAGGAGGAGGAAGAGCUGAGGUGGCUGAGACGGAGGAGCUAAUGCAGUGAAUGGAGAAACCAAAGUCAUGUGAGAGAUUGUCUCAAGAAAGAGGGGUGAUUGCAGAGGAACUUAUUCAUAAAACAGAAAGACACACACAGACUUAGAAAACAAGAUUAUGGUUACCAAAGGGGACAGCUGCGGGGGCAGGGAGGAUAAAUUAGGGGUUUGAGAUUAACGUGGACACUGCACUGUUUGUAAAAUAAGUAAACAAGGACCUGCUGUAUAGCACAGGUAACUCAAUAUCUUGUAAUAACUUAUAAUGGGAAAGAAUCUGAAAAAGAACAUAUCUGUAUCUGUAUCUGUCUCUAUUAUCUAUCUGUCUAUCUAUCCAUCUAUCCGUAUCUGAUUCGCUUUGCUAUACACCUGAAACUAACACAAUGUUGUAAACUAAUUCUACCUCAAUUAAAAAAAAAAA
This 4484-nucleotide long non-coding RNA is filed under the name Sus scrofa (pig). RNAcentral's name for it is "lncRNA (ENSSSCG00040058328.1)". The record is from RNAcentral. Lineage: Eukaryota; Metazoa; Chordata; Mammalia; Artiodactyla; Suidae.